This 253-nucleotide ribosomal RNA is filed under the name uncultured bacterium. Its description in RNAcentral is "partial 16S ribosomal RNA". It matches the Rfam family "Bacterial small subunit ribosomal RNA", at positions 524 to 776 of the family's 1533-position model. The record is from RNAcentral.
UACGGGGGGGGCAAGCGUUGUUCGGAAUUACUGGGCGUAAAGGGCUCGUAGGCGGCCAACUAAGUCAGACGUGAAAUCCCCGGGCUCAACCCGGGAACUGCGUCCGAUACUGGAGGGCUUGAAUCCGGGAGAGGGAUGCGGAAUUCCAGGUGUAGCGGUGAAAUGCGUAGAUAUCUGGAGGAACACCGGUGGCGAAGGCGGCAUCCUGGACCGGCAUUGACGCUGAGGCGCGAAAGCCAGGGGAGCAAACGGG